This 820-nucleotide unclassified non-coding RNA is filed under the name Hevea brasiliensis (rubber tree). Lineage: Eukaryota; Viridiplantae; Streptophyta; Magnoliopsida; Malpighiales; Euphorbiaceae. The record is from RNAcentral.
GGAAGAAACUUUUUCAGUAAAUGCUGCAGAUUUGAAUGGAAUGGGUUGCACCUCAACCAACUCUUCCAAAAUAGCAACAAUUUUUUCUCCUAUUUUGAAUAAUGUUGAAGUCCAAUGCCAUCCUAUUAUUGAACACGAUCCAGGGAGCAAACUUGAUCCAAAUAUACCAGGAAUGGAAACUGAUGAAGGGAAAAAUAGCAGAAGCUCACAUGACAGUCAAACCUGUGACAUAUCAGAUUUUUUUAUUUCUGACAUGAUAGUUGCGAACUUACCUUUAUGUGGAAAUGAUGACAUUUGCGACAUCAAUUAUUUUCAUGACUACAAAUAUACUCAGUCGGCUGUAUUGUCUGAUGUUGCUGAUCAGUAUAUGAUACUGCCUUUCCUUGAGGACACCAUGAAAUUCAGCAAUUCAGAUGAUGCUAAAUGUUCUGAUGAAUCAGCUAUUGGUUCUGGUAAUUCUAGUUUGUACCGUGUAAUUGAUCAAAGGAAUAAUUUGAGCCUUGAAUUCAGUGUUAGCUCAGACUCAGAUCAGACAGAGUGUUUUGAUCCCCAGUUGUUCAUAAAAAAAUUUACCAGAACUUUCAGAAGUGAUUUCAAACUUUCAGCCUAGUAUAUUGCCCAAUGAAGAUCGAAAAAGAAAAGCUGUGACCCUUGUACUUGAUUUGGAUGAAACAUUAGUUCACUCUACUUUGGAACCGCAGGAUGAUGCAGACUUCCGCUUUACUGUCUGCUUGAACAUGAAAGAGCACAUUGUAUAUGUCAAACGGAGGCCAUAUCUUCAAAUAUUUCUGGACCGUGUUGCAGAGAUGUUUGAAGUUGU